Molecule: ribosomal RNA, 163 nt
Filed under: Keteleeria fortunei
Lineage: Eukaryota; Viridiplantae; Streptophyta; Pinopsida; Pinales; Pinaceae
Description: 5.8S ribosomal RNA
Rfam family: 5.8S ribosomal RNA
About the family: 5.8S ribosomal RNA (5.8S rRNA) is a component of the large subunit of the eukaryotic ribosome.
Source: RNAcentral
AAAAAUGACUCUCGGCAACGGAUAUCUCGGCUCUCGUUACGAUGAAGAACGUAGCGAAAUGCGAUACUUAGUGUGAAUUGCAGAAUCCCGUGAAUCAUCGAGUCUUUGAACGCAAUUUGCGCCCGAGGCCUCGGCCGAGGGCACGUUUGUCUGGGCGUCGCAU